RNAcentral lists this ribosomal RNA (497 nucleotides) under uncultured bacterium. RNAcentral describes it as "partial 16S ribosomal RNA". It matches the Rfam family "Bacterial small subunit ribosomal RNA", at positions 28 to 507 of the family's 1533-position model. The record is from RNAcentral.
GAUGAACGCUGGCGGCGUGCCUAAUACAUGCAAGUCGAGCGAACAGACGAGGAGCUUGCUCCUCUGACGUUAGCGGCGGACGGGUGAGUAACACGUGGAUAACCUACCUAUAAGACUGGGAUAACUUCGGGAAACCGGAGCUAAUACCGGAUAAUAUAUUGAACCGCAUGGUUCAAUAGUGAAAGACGGUUUUGCUGUCACUUAUAGAUGGAUCCGCGCCGCAUUAGCUAGUUGGUAAGGUAACGGCUUACCAAGGCAACGAUGCGUAGCCGACCUGAGAGGGUGAUCGGCCACACUGGAACUGAGACACGGUCCAGACUCCUACGGGAGGAAGCAGUAGGGAAUCUUCCGCAAUGGGCGAAAGCCUGACGGAGCAACGCCGCGUGGGUGAUGAAGGUCUUCGGAUCGUAAAACUCUGUUAUUAGGGAAGAACAAAUGUGUAAGUAACUAUGCACGUCUUGACGGUACCUAAUCAGAAAGCAACGGCUAACUACGUG